Molecule: ribosomal RNA, 298 nt
Filed under: uncultured bacterium
Lineage: Bacteria
Description: partial 16S ribosomal RNA
Rfam family: Bacterial small subunit ribosomal RNA
Source: RNAcentral
AGGCUUAACACAUGCAAGUCGAGGGCAGCGCGGGGCGGCAACGUCCUGGCGGCGACCGGCGGAAGGGUGCGUAACGCGUGAGCGACAUGCCCGUUGCCCGGGGACAACCGGUGGAAACGCCGACUAAUCCCCGAUGGGACGGAGGCCCUCAUGGGUCUCUGUUGAAAGUUACGGCGGCGACGGAUUGGCUCGCGUCCGAUUAGCUUGUUGGCGGGGUAACGGCCCACCAAGGCUACGAUCGGUAGGGGUUCUGAGAGGAAGGUCCCCCACAAUGGAACUGAGACACGGUCCAUACUCC